Molecule: ribosomal RNA, 503 nt
Filed under: uncultured bacterium
Lineage: Bacteria
Description: partial 16S ribosomal RNA
Rfam family: Bacterial small subunit ribosomal RNA
Source: RNAcentral
AUUGAACGCUGGCGGCAGGCUUAACACAUGCAAGUCGAGCGGGGUGAUGGUGCUUGCACUAUCACUUAGCGGCGGACGGGUGAGUAAUGCUUAGGAAUCUGCCUAUUAGUGGGGGACAACAUCUCGAAAGGGAUGCUAAUACCGCAUACGUCCUACGGGAGAAAGCAGGGGAUCACUUGCGACCUUGCGCUAAUAGAUGAGCCUAAGUCGGAUUAGCUAGUUGGUGGGGUAAAGGCCCACCAAGGCGACGAUCUGUAGCGGGUCUGAGAGGAUGAUCCGCCACACUGGGACUGAGACACAGCCCAGACUCCUACGGGAGGCAGCAGUGGGGAAUAUUGGACAAUGGGGGGAACCCUGAUCCAACCAUGCCGCGUGUGUGAAGAAGGCCUUAUGGUUGUAAAGCACUUUAAGCGAGGAGGAGGCUCUUUUGGUUAAUACCCAAGAUGAGUGGACGUUACUCGCAGAAUAAGCACCGGCUAACUCUGUGCCAGCAGCCGCCGUAA